CAGUCGCCGCGGUAAUACGUAGAUCCCGAGCGUUGUCCGGAUUUAUUGGGCGUAAAGGGAGCGCAGGCGGUUUAGUAAGUCUGAAGUUAAAGGCAUUGGCUCAACCAAUGUAUGCUUUGGAAACUGUUAGACUUGAGUGCAGAGGGGGAGAGUGGAAUUCCAUGUGUAGCGGUGAAAUGCGUAGAUAUAUGGAGGAACACCGGUGGCGAAAGCGGCUCUCUGGUCUGUCACUGACGCUGAGGCUCGAAAGCGUGGGUAGCGAACAGGAUUAGAUACCCCGGUAGUCCCUGUCUCUUAUACA
This 301-nucleotide ribosomal RNA is filed under the name uncultured bacterium. RNAcentral's name for it is "partial 16S ribosomal RNA". It matches the Rfam family "Bacterial small subunit ribosomal RNA", at positions 509 to 808 of the family's 1533-position model. The record is from RNAcentral.